RNAcentral lists this ribosomal RNA (744 nucleotides) under uncultured bacterium. Its description in RNAcentral is "bacterial SSU rRNA". It matches the Rfam family "Bacterial small subunit ribosomal RNA", at positions 56 to 790 of the family's 1533-position model. The record is from RNAcentral.
UGCAAGUCGAGGGGCAGCAUGAACUUAGCUUGCUAAGUUUGAUGGCGACCGGCGCACGGGUGAGUAACACGUAUCCAACCUGCCGAUGACUCGGGGAUAGCCUUUCGAAAGAAAGAUUAAUACCCGAUGGCAUAGUUCUUCCGCAUGGUGGAACUAUUAAAGAAUUUCGGUCAUCGAUGGGGAUGCGUUCCAUUAGGUUGUUGGCGGGGUAACGGCCCACCAAGCCUUCGAUGGAUAGGGGUUCUGAGAGGAAGGUCCCCCACAUUGGAACUGAGACACGGUCCAAACUCCUACGGGAGGCAGCAGUGAGGAAUAUUGGUCAAUGGACGAGAGUCUGAACCAGCCAAGUAGCGUGAAGGAUGACUGCCCUAUGGGUUGUAAACUUCUUUUAUACGGGAAUAAAGUGAGGCACGUGUGCCUUUUUGUAUGUACCGUAUGAAUAAGGAUCGGCUAACUCCGUGCCAGCAGCCGCGGUAAUACGGAGGAUCCGAGCGUUAUCCGGAUUUAUUGGGUUUAAAGGGAGCGUAGGCGGACGCUUAAGUCAGUUGUGAAAGUUUGCGGCUCAACCGUAAAAUUGCAGUUGAUACUGGGUGUCUUGAGUACAGUAGAGGCAGGCGGAAUUCGUGGUGUAGCGGUGAAAUGCUUAGAUAUCACGAAGAACUCCGAUUGCGAAGGCAGCUUGCUGGACUGUAACUGACGCUGAUGCUCGAAAGUGUGGGUAUCAAACAGGAUUAGAUACCCUGG